UGUGGGGGAUAACGUAGAGAAAUUUACGCUAAUACCGCAUACGAUCUAAGGAUGAAAGCGGGGGAUCGCAAGACCUCGCGCAAUUGGAGCGGCUGAUAUCAGAUUAGCUUGUUGGUGAGGUAAAAGCUCACCAAGGCGACGAUCUGUAGCUGGUUUGAGAGAACGACCAGCCACACUGGGACUGAGACACGGCCCAGACUCCUACGGGAGGCAGCAGUGGGGAAUUUUGGACAAUGGGCGAAAGCCUGAUCCAGCAAUGCCGCGUGCAGGAAGAAGGCCUUCGGGUUGUAAACUGCUUUUGUACGGAACGAAACGGUCCGCUUUAAUACAGUGGGCUAAUGACGGUACCGUAAGAAUAAGCACCGGCUAACUACGUGCCAGCAGCCGCGGUAAUAC
RNAcentral lists this ribosomal RNA (396 nucleotides) under uncultured Polaromonas sp. RNAcentral describes it as "bacterial SSU rRNA". It matches the Rfam family "Bacterial small subunit ribosomal RNA", at positions 135 to 526 of the family's 1533-position model. The record is from RNAcentral. Lineage: Bacteria; Pseudomonadati; Pseudomonadota; Betaproteobacteria; Burkholderiales; Comamonadaceae.